GACGAACGCUGGCGGCGUGCUUAACACAUGCAAGUCGAGCGGUAAGGCCCUUUCGGGGGUACACGAGCGGCGAACGGGUGAGUAACACGUGGGUGACCUGCCCUCAGCUCUGGGAUAAGCCUGGGAAACCGGGUCUAAUACUGGAUAUGACUCCAUGACGCAUGUUGUGGGGUGGAAAGCCUUGUGCGGCUGAGGAUGGGGCCCGCGGCCUAUCAGCUUGUUGGUGGGGUGAGGCCUACCAAGGCGACGACGGGUAGCCGGCCUGAGAGGGCGACCGGCCACACUGGGACUGAGACACGGCCCAGACUCCUACGGGAGGCAGCAGUGGGGAAUCUUGCGCAAUGGGCGAAAGCCUGACGCAGCGACGCCGCGUGAGGGAUGACGGCCUGG
Molecule: ribosomal RNA, 390 nt
Filed under: uncultured bacterium
Lineage: Bacteria
Description: bacterial SSU rRNA
Rfam family: Bacterial small subunit ribosomal RNA
Source: RNAcentral